UCCUAAAGUUGUAGGCUUCGGGCCUCGCUGCUUACCCAUGUCUUUUGAGUACCGUCUGUUUCCUCGGCGGGUCCUGCCCUGCCGAGUGGACAUCAUUAAAACCUCUUUGCAGUUGCAAUCAGCGUCAGAAAAACAAUUAAUAUUA
This 145-nucleotide unclassified non-coding RNA is filed under the name soil metagenome. RNAcentral describes it as "partial internal transcribed spacer 1". The record is from RNAcentral.